GAGCACACAUACCACUAUCGGCUCCUACGCACCUAGUGCGAGCCACCAGCCCUACGAGUGACCUCUGGCACGCUUCACACUUAGCAAUGCUAAAGUGCUACUGCCAACGCACUCACGGCUGAAACAAAUCUGCACUCUAUGAGCACCAACACUUGAGCGCUCUAUACGACUCUAUCGCGUGCUAUAUUAAGUCUAGCAUCAGGCAACUCUUGCCUAUGCACUCAACUACACGAGCACGACC
RNAcentral lists this long non-coding RNA (241 nucleotides) under Ananas comosus (pineapple). Its description in RNAcentral is "long non-coding RNA (ACOM_LNC037890)". The record is from RNAcentral. Lineage: Eukaryota; Viridiplantae; Streptophyta; Magnoliopsida; Poales; Bromeliaceae.